ACAGAGGGGGCAAGCGUUGUUCGGAAUUACUGGGCGUAAAGGGCGCGUAGGCGGCCUUCUAAGUCGAACGUGAAAUCCCCGGGCUCAACCCGGGAACUGCGUCCGAUACUGGAAGGCUUGAAUCCGGGAGAGGGAUGCGGAAUUCCAGGUGUAGCGGUGAAAUGCGUAGAUAUCUGGAGGAACACCGGUGGCGAAGGCGGCUUUCUGGUCUGUAACUGACGCUGAGGCGCGAAAGCGUGGGGAGCAAACAGGG
RNAcentral lists this ribosomal RNA (253 nucleotides) under uncultured prokaryote. RNAcentral describes it as "partial 16S ribosomal RNA". It matches the Rfam family "Bacterial small subunit ribosomal RNA", at positions 525 to 777 of the family's 1533-position model. The record is from RNAcentral.